CGGUGUGCUCAUACCAGCACUAAAGUACCAGAUCCCAUCAGAACUCUGAAGUUAAGCAUGCUUGGGCGAGAGUAGUACUAUGAUGCGUAACCCCUUGAGAAGUCCUCGUAUUGCACUAC
Ribosomal RNA from Musa acuminata AAA Group (dessert banana), 119 nucleotides. The record is from RefSeq and is a predicted model, not a curated record. NCBI's taxonomy places the organism in Eukaryota, Viridiplantae, Streptophyta, Magnoliopsida, Zingiberales, Musaceae.